GUUAACUUUAUUUCAUUCAUAUUUUAACUUCCAUAAAUUGCACCUUGUAAUACAUAUAAAGUCUGGAAGAGAUCAGAAGGCAAGUUACAGCAGAUUCUUCAUAAAACUUUAUUCAUUAAAGUCAAAACAAUUCGGAGAUCAAUGACAAUAAAGUGUGAUAUGUCAUAACCAGUGACACAAUGUGCAUGUAUAUAUACAUUGAACUUUUGUGGUUUAUUAAAUGGAUGAAGUUUGAAGUUAUCAUUUUAUAAUAAUUAAAAAAAAAUCCUUUUUCAAAAAUGUUAUACCAGCUAUAUUAAACGUUUUUUCAUUCACA
Molecule: long non-coding RNA, 316 nt
Filed under: Mytilus galloprovincialis (Mediterranean mussel)
Lineage: Eukaryota; Metazoa; Mollusca; Bivalvia; Mytilida; Mytilidae
Source: RNAcentral